This 253-nucleotide ribosomal RNA is filed under the name uncultured bacterium. RNAcentral's name for it is "partial 16S ribosomal RNA". It matches the Rfam family "Bacterial small subunit ribosomal RNA", at positions 524 to 776 of the family's 1533-position model. The record is from RNAcentral.
GACAGAGGUCCCGAGCGUUAGGCGGAAUCACUGGGCUUAAAGCGUGUGUAGGCGGAUUUGUAAGUACCUUGUGAAAUCCCACAGCUCAACUGUGGAACUGCUUGGUAUACUGCUUAUCUUGGGCCAUCUAGGGGCUACCGGAACAAGUGGUGGAGCGGUGAAAUGCGUAGAUAUCACUUGGAACGCCAAUGGUGAAAUCAGGUAGCUGGGGAUGUGCCGACGCUGAGACACGAAAGCCAGGGGAGCAAACGGG